GGCGGACGGGUGAGUAAUGCCUAGGAAUCUGCCUGAUAGUGGGGGACAACGUUUCGAAAGGAGCGCUAAUACCGCAUACGUCCUACGGGAGAAAGCAGGGGACCUUCGGGCCUUGCGCUAUCAGAUGAGCCUAGGUCGGAUUAGCUAGUUGGUGAGGUAAUGGCUCACCAAGGCGACGAUCCGUAACUGGUCUGAGAGGAUGAUCAGUCACACUGGAACUGAGACACGGUCCAGACUCCUACGGGAGGCAGCAGUGGGGAAUAUUGGACAAUGGGCGAAAGCCUGAUCCAGCCAUGCCGCGUGUGUGAAGAAGGUCUUCGGAUUGUAAAGCACUUUAAGUUGGGAGGAAGGGUUGUAGAUUAAUACUCUGCAAUUUUGACGUUACCGACAGAAUAAGCACCGGCUAACUCUGUGCCAGCAGCCGCGGUAAUACAGAGGGUGCAAGCGUUAAUCGGAAUUACUGGGCGUAAAGCGCGCGUAGGUGGUUUGUUAAGUUGGAUGUGAAAUCCCCGGGCUCAACCUGGGAACUGCAUCCAAAACUGGCAAGCUAGAGUAUGGUAGAGGGUGGUGGAAUUUCCUGUGUAGCGGUGAAAUGCGUAGAUAUAGGAAGGAACACCAGUGGCGAAGGCGACCACCUGGACUGAUACUGACACUGAGGUGCGAAAGCGUGGGGAGCAAACAGGAUUAGAUACCCUGGUAGUCCACGCCGUANACGAUGUCAACUAGCCGUUGGGAGCCUUGAGCUCUUAGUGGCGCAGCUAACGCAUUAAGUUGACCGCC
Molecule: ribosomal RNA, 780 nt
Filed under: uncultured bacterium
Lineage: Bacteria
Description: bacterial SSU rRNA
Rfam family: Bacterial small subunit ribosomal RNA
Source: RNAcentral